Molecule: non-coding RNA, 980 nt
Rfam family: Bacterial small subunit ribosomal RNA
AAAGACUUAGUCCUAACCUUACUGUUGGUUAUUGCUAGAUUUAUACAUGCAAGUAUCCGCAAUCCAGUGUAGAUGCCCUAGGCACCCUAAUUUUAGGUCAAUAGGAGCAGGUAUCAGGCACACACCCUUCAACUGUAGCCCAAGACGCCUAGCAAUUGCCACACCCCCACGGGCAUUCAGCAGUAGUUAAUAUUAAGCAAUGAGUGUAAACUUGACUUAGUCAUAGCAACCUAAGGGUCGGUAAAUCCUGUGCCAGCCACCGCGGUCAUACAGGAGACCCAAAUUAACAUUACUAACGGCGUAAAGAGUGGUCACAUGCUAUCCAAGUAACUAAGAUUAAAAAACAACUGAGCCGUCACAAGCCCAAGAUGUGUACAAGGCCUCUAUUCAAAGAAGAUCUUAGACUAACGAUUAAUUGAAGCCACGAAAGCCAGGACCCAAACUGGGAUUAGAUACCCCACUAUGCCUGGCCCUAAAUCUUGAUGCUCGAUCUAACCGGAGCAUCCGCCUGAGAACUACGAGCGCAAACGCUUAAAACUCUAAGGACUUGGCGGUGCUCCAAACCCACCUAGAGGAGCCUGUUCUGUAAUCGAUGAUCCACGAUAUACCUGACCAUCCCUUGCUCAACACAGCCCAUAUACCGCCGUCUCCAGCCCACCCUCCAUGAAGGCCCAACAGUGGACGCAAUAGCUAUACCCCGCUAGCAAGACAGGUCAAGGUAUGGCCCAUGGGAUGGAAGUAAUGGGCUACAUUUUCUAGAUUAGAACAUAACGGCAAAGGCACGUGAAACCGUACCUCAAAGGCGGAUUUAGCAGUAAAGAGAGAUUAGCGAGCCCUCUUUAAGCCGGCUCUGGAGUGCGUACAUACCGCCCGUCACCCUCUUCAAAAGCGACCCCACACCCCAUAAAUAAUAAGUUUCUCAGCCAAAGAAGAGGUAAGUCGUAACAAGGUAAGUGUACCGGAAGGUGCACUUAGGACAC